RNAcentral lists this ribosomal RNA (429 nucleotides) under Acidobacteriota bacterium. Its description in RNAcentral is "Acidobacteria bacterium partial 16S ribosomal RNA". It matches the Rfam family "Bacterial small subunit ribosomal RNA", at positions 355 to 776 of the family's 1533-position model. Lineage: Bacteria; Pseudomonadati; Acidobacteriota. The record is from RNAcentral.
UGGGGAAUUUUGGACAAUGGGGGAAACCCUGAUCCAGCCAUCCCGCGUGUGCGAUGAAGGCCUUCGGGUUGUAAAGUACUUUUGGCAGGAAAGAAACGUCAUGGGUUAAUACCCCGUGAAACUGACGGUACCUGCAGAAUAAGCACCGGCUAACUACGUGCCAGCAGCCGCGGUAAUACGUAGGGUGCAAGCGUUAAUCGGAAUUACUGGGCGUAAAGCGUGCGCAGGCGGUUCGGAAAGAAAGAUGUGAAAUCCCAGAGCUCAACUUUGGAACUGCAUUUUUAACUACCGGGCUAGAGUGUGUCAGAAGGAGGUGGAAUUCCGCGUGUAGCAGUGAAAUGCGUAGAUAUGCGGAGGAACACCGAUGGCGAAGGCAGCCUCCUGGGAUAACACUGACGCUCAUGCACGAAGGCGUGGGGAGCAAACAGG